AGUUCCAAGACUUGGUGUUGGCUGUUCAUGCCAACUCAAGGGGCAGUGGUGGUUUUCCCUGCCAUGCACAGAGACUCUUCUUGUAGACCCCACCCCUUGUAGACCUCCAACCACCAGGCUUCACUCCCACACUACCCUGGAGGCAUGAGUGGUCAGCUCCCAACCCCCAGGAGCUCCAAUGACCAGGCCCCACCCACAGACUUUCCUGAAGUUGGCCAUUCCCAGCAACCAUCUAUCCCAGCCCCAACACCCACAGUGGCCAGGCCCUGUCCUGCAGAAAAAAAAAAAAAUCUCACCAAUCCCUGAGUCUGCCUCACAAUCAGGCCACAUAAGCCCACCAAUCCCAGGCCACCUUGGAAAGCUCCAGCUCUGCCCCAAGAAACACUAUAUAAAUUCCUGCCUUCAGCUCAGUUCUCGCUGCUUCUCACCUGAACGGAGAGAGGUAGCCGCCUUUCUGGGUUUUUCUCUCCCAAUAAGUCUUUGUUUGAGGUUUGUUGUGCAGCGUGACUUUGUGAUACUGUGUGAUAGUCCUUGGCUCCAGCUGCCAGGAUACCUCUCCCAACUGAGGUGUAGCACUUAGCCUUGGAAAUCCUGACCUCCCCUCCAGAGUUUAACAGUCAAACAGUGUAUCAGAGUUAACUGUCAAGUGAUACUUUAAGCCAAGCCCUACUUUUCCCACUGUGCAUGCUCCAAAGAUCCUAUAAAAGCCCACCCCUCUGCCCAGUCCUUCGCAGUCUCUUUCUGUUCAGAGGCAGCUGCCACUAUGUUCUUCCCAAUAAAUCACUUGUGUGGUUUGUU
RNAcentral lists this long non-coding RNA (798 nucleotides) under Rattus norvegicus (Norway rat). Its description in RNAcentral is "long non-coding RNA NONRATT017398". The record is from RNAcentral. Lineage: Eukaryota; Metazoa; Chordata; Mammalia; Rodentia; Muridae.